Long non-coding RNA from Leopardus geoffroyi (Geoffroy's cat), 865 nucleotides. RefSeq lists it as uncharacterized. The transcript has 3 exons. The record is from RefSeq and is a predicted model, not a curated record. Lineage: Eukaryota; Metazoa; Chordata; Mammalia; Carnivora; Felidae.
CCCGAUGUCCAGCCACGUGGCACAGAGGCCCGUGUGGUGAAGGAGUGAAGCCUCUGCCGACAGCCACGUGAGUGAGUCUUCUCCAACUCCUGCCAGCCUUUGAAGACUGCAGCCCCAGGGCACGACUUCCCCGCAGCCUCCUGGAGAUCCUGAGCCAGAAACCCCAGCUAGCUGCUCCCAGAAUCCUGACCCUCAGAAACCGUGCGAGGUAGCAGAUCCCUUGUGCCAAACCCGCCGAGCCUGUGAUCAAGCACGUACCGCCUCCUGCAACAAUCUGGAAACGUUCAGCCCACCUCCCUGCUGAGCCUGGCAAGACAAGAUUCCAUCUUCUGUCCCAGCCUCGGCCCCAGGCCUGACCCAGGAGGGGGGCGGGGCUUUUCAGAGCUUGAUUCCCAAGGUCACCUUGAGCUUUGCCCUUCCCGAGUCCCAACGCUGUUGCCCGUUGGCUUUCCUGCAGCUUUGAAUACAAGGAGGCCAGAGACCCGGGGGAGCAAAACAGACGUUCGCAUGAGUCGGAGUCUCUGGGGGUUCGGGACGCAGUACAAUCCAUCCCACGGCGGCGUUCUUCAUAUAGAAAUUUGUCUUCACUUUGAAGUGAACAAACUUCUUGCUUUACCUGAGUUCUGCAGACUAAGAGGGUGUGUGCACUUCUCUCCUGGCAUCACGUGUAACCAGGGGGCCGCAGUAAGGAGGGAAAGGUCCCCUUCUUCCACGUUUGUUGCUGAGAAGGAAGUGGCUAAGCACCCUUACUUCAACUGCACAGGCCACGGCGGGCCCCGCCCUCCCUCACUGCCUGCCCCUCCCAUCCCACCAAACGUAAACCCUCGGGCAGUGACUUUUGAUAAAAACAUAGGGAUCAUCGUCG